GGGAAGGUGGCAGAGUCCGGUUGAAUGUACCGCCCUCGAAAUGCGGCAAGGUGUAAAAACCUUCGUGGGUUCGAAUCCCACCCUUCCCG
RNAcentral lists this transfer RNA (89 nucleotides) under Herpetosiphon geysericola. It matches the Rfam family "tRNA". From Rfam's summary of the family: Transfer RNA (tRNA) molecules are approximately 80 nucleotides in length. Their secondary structure includes four short double-helical elements and three loops (D, anti-codon, and T loops). Lineage: Bacteria; Bacillati; Chloroflexota; Chloroflexia; Herpetosiphonales; Herpetosiphonaceae. The record is from Rfam by way of RNAcentral.